This 496-nucleotide ribosomal RNA is filed under the name uncultured bacterium. RNAcentral describes it as "partial 16S ribosomal RNA". It matches the Rfam family "Bacterial small subunit ribosomal RNA", at positions 29 to 507 of the family's 1533-position model. The record is from RNAcentral.
AUGAACGCUGGCGGCGUGCCUAAUCCAUGCAAGUCGAGCGAACGGACGAGAAGCUUGCUUCUCUGAUGUUAGCGGCGGACGGGUGAGUAACACGUGGAUAACCUACCUAUAAGACUGGGAUAACUUCGGGAAACCGGAGCUAAUACCGGAUAAUAUUUUGAACCGCAUGGUUCAAAAGUGAAAGACGGUCUUGCUGUCACUUAUAGAUGGAUCCGCGCUGCAUUAGCUAGUUGGUAAGGUAACGGCUUACCAAGGCAACGAUGCAUAGCCGACCUGAGAGGGUGAUCGGCCACACUGGAACUGAGACACGGUCCAGACUCCUACGGGAGGCAGCAGUAGGGAAUCUUCCGCAAUGGGCGAAAGCCUGACGGAGCAACGCCGCGUGAGUGAUGAAGGUCUUCGGAUCGUAAAACCCUGUUAUUAGGGAAGAACAUAUGUGUAAGUAACUGUGCACAUCUUGACGGUACCUAAUCAGAAAGCCACGGCUAACUACGUG